AGCAGUCGCCGCGGUAAUACAGAGGGUGCAAGCGUUAAUCGGAAUUACUGGGCGUAAAGCGCGCGUAGGUGGUUCGCCAAGUUGGAUGUGAAAUCCCCGGGCUCAACCUGGGAACUGCAUCCAAAACUGGCGAGCUAGAGUAUGGUAGAGGGUGGUGGAAUUUCCUGUGUAGCGGUGAAAUGCGUAGAUAUAGGAAGGAACAUCAGUGGCGAAGGCGACCACCUGGACUGAUACUGACACUGAGGUGCGAAAGCGUGGGGAGCAAACAGGAUUAGAUACCCCUGUAGUCCCUGUCUCUUAUAC
Molecule: ribosomal RNA, 303 nt
Filed under: uncultured bacterium
Lineage: Bacteria
Description: partial 16S ribosomal RNA
Rfam family: Bacterial small subunit ribosomal RNA
Source: RNAcentral